UGGGGAAUAUUGCACAAUGGGCGCAAGCCUGAUGCAGCCAUGCCGCGUGUGUGAAGAAGGCCUUCGGGUUGUAAAGUACUUUCAGUCGGGAGGAAGGUGGUAAGGUUAAUAACCUUGGCAAUUGACGUUACCGACAGAAGAAGCACCGGCUAACUCCGUGCCAGCAGCCGCGGUAAUACGGAGGGUGCAAGCGUUAAUCGGAAUUACUGGGCGUAAAGCGCACGCAGGCGGUUGAUUGAGUCAGAUGUGAAAUCCCCGGGCUUAACCCGGGAAUUGCAUCUGAUACUGGUCAGCUAGAGUCUUGUAGAGGGGGGUAGAAUUCCAUGUGUAGCGGUGAAAUGCGUAGAGAUGUGGAGGAAUACCGGUGGCGAAGGCGGCCCCCUGGACAAAGACUGACGCUCAGGUGCGAAAGCGUGGGGAGCAAACAUG
This 429-nucleotide ribosomal RNA is filed under the name Chloroflexota bacterium. Its description in RNAcentral is "Chloroflexi bacterium partial 16S ribosomal RNA". It matches the Rfam family "Bacterial small subunit ribosomal RNA", at positions 355 to 776 of the family's 1533-position model. Lineage: Bacteria; Bacillati; Chloroflexota. The record is from RNAcentral.